Molecule: ribosomal RNA, 253 nt
Filed under: uncultured bacterium
Lineage: Bacteria
Description: partial 16S ribosomal RNA
Rfam family: Bacterial small subunit ribosomal RNA
Source: RNAcentral
UACGUAGGGUGCGAGCGUUAAUCGGAAUUACUGGGCGUAAAGGGCUCGUAGGCGGCCAACUAAGUCAGACGUGAAAUCCCCAGGCUCAACCUGGGAACUGCGUCUGAUACUGGAUGGCUUGAAUCCGGGAGAGGGAUGCAGAAUUCCAGGUGUAGCGGUGAAAUGCGUAGAUAUCUGGAGGAAUACCGGUGGCGAAGGCGGCAUCCUGGACCGACAUUGACGCUGAACGGCGAAAGCUAGGGGAGCAAACGGG